Molecule: small nuclear RNA, 102 nt
Filed under: Amborella trichopoda
Lineage: Eukaryota; Viridiplantae; Streptophyta; Magnoliopsida; Amborellales; Amborellaceae
Source: RNAcentral
GUGUUUGACUAAUAUUAACUCUAGGGUUAGAACUAUCUAGAGAAGAUUGGCAUGGCUUUUGCGCAAGAAUUUCACACAAAUCAAGAAAUGGUCCAAAUUUUU